GGAGGUUUCACCUGCAGCUACAACUAGACCCCUAACCUGGGAACUUCCCUAGGCCCCAGGGGUGGCCUUAAAAAAAUAAAAGUUUGCCAUUCAAAGGUCAGUCUCCCACAGGAGCUCGCCACACAUGUAGGAUCAGAGAACCACAAUCUGCCCCCCGCCCCCAUGCUGUCGGCACUGAACGCAAGCAGACAAUGGUGUGGACCUGCUACCAGGACGCUCCCCGCCUCCCCUCUGCCCUGGGGGCCGCCCCGCCCCGCGUCUCACCCCCAGACCCAGCACGGCCUGUGAUCCCCCCCCCCCACCUCCGAGGUGUUCUCAGCAAAGACCCCAGGCCCGGGGCCUCCAUCUAAGCUGGGCCAGGACAGCAGGAAGGAGCAGGCCUUGCAGGGCGUCCAGCCACCCAGGGACGCGGUACAGGCGCAGGAGGACCAGCCUAGGGGGCGAAACUGAGUUGGGGGAGCUCUGAGAAAUGCCCCAGGGCAAGGCCGUGCCUGCAACCACCAGAAUGCGGACGCCCAGGCCCCCUGAAGCCUUGGGGCUGAGCGAUCUGUCAAGCGCAUCCUCAAGGCCACAGCUCAAGGCCACAGCGGGCCACAGGCCCGAGCAGGAAACGGCCACCCACAGGGCAGGUACGAACCCCCAACUGGAGACUCAGCAAUGGGUCUGAGGGGGUGGGGCUCCCUCUCACAGGCUCUCUGCUGGAAGCCACCAUCCGGUCCUACCUGCUCCAGGACACACAGGGUGGAGGGCCUGUGCACCCAGGUGCCCACUCAGCCUCUGGCCACGGGUUCCUGUGCCCCGGCCAGGCCAUACCCACCCCCUUCCGGCCACAGACAGCGGGGGGCUGCUCGGGUGACCCGAGCCAGCAGGCACUCAAACCCUUGGCAGGAUGCCCCACAGGUCCCUGGGGAGCAAAUGGGCCUGCGUGGUUACAGGAACUUGGCUCAGGGCCUGGCACCAGCCAGCGCCCACUGGCAGUGAGCCGUGGCCGCUGUUUAUUACAUGACCCACCCUUCCUGCACCCCCCCGUCCCUGGGGAACCGUCCCAGAAGACACUUCCCACAGCCGCAGGGAGGGCCACUGGAGCCCCAGAACCCUCUACGGGAAA
This 1108-nucleotide long non-coding RNA is filed under the name Sus scrofa (pig). Its description in RNAcentral is "lncRNA (ENSSSCG00005024305.1)". The record is from RNAcentral. Lineage: Eukaryota; Metazoa; Chordata; Mammalia; Artiodactyla; Suidae.